CCUACGGGAGGCAGCAGUAAGGAAUAUUGGACAAUGGUCGCAAGACUGAUCCAGCCAUGCCGCGUGAAGGAUGAAUGCCUAUGGGUUGUAAACUUCUUUUACGAAACCCCUGGUACCGUAAGAAUAAGGAUCGGCUAACUUCGUGCCAGCAGCCGCGGUAAUACGAAGGAUUCGAGCGUUAUCCGGAUUUAUUGGGUUUAAAGGGUGCGUAGGUGGACUAAUAAGUCAGUGGUGAAAGCCCGCAGCUUAACUGCGGAACUGCCAUUGAUACUGUUAGUCUUGAGUACAGUUGAGGUGGGCGGAAUGUGUCAUGUAGCGGUGAAAUGCUUAGAUAUGACACAGAACACCGAUUGCGAAGGCAGCUCACUAAGCUGUACUGACACUGAGGCACGAAAGCGUGGGGAGCAAACAGGAUUAGAUACCCUUGUAGUC
This 432-nucleotide ribosomal RNA is filed under the name uncultured bacterium. RNAcentral's name for it is "partial 16S ribosomal RNA". It matches the Rfam family "Bacterial small subunit ribosomal RNA", at positions 338 to 795 of the family's 1533-position model. The record is from RNAcentral.